This 75-nucleotide transfer RNA is filed under the name Bacilli bacterium. Its description in RNAcentral is "tRNA-Gly". It matches the Rfam family "tRNA". Rfam says of the family: Transfer RNA (tRNA) molecules are approximately 80 nucleotides in length. Their secondary structure includes four short double-helical elements and three loops (D, anti-codon, and T loops). Lineage: Bacteria; Bacillati; Bacillota; Bacilli. The record is from RNAcentral.
GCAGAUGUAGUACAACGGCUAGUACGAGGCCUUGCCAAGGCUUAGACGGGAGUUCGACCCUCCUCAUCUGCUCCA